AGCAGCCGCGGUAAUUCCAGCUCCAAUAGCGUAUAUUAAAGUUGUUGCAGUUAAAAAGCUCGUAGUUGAAUUUCGGGAUCAGUACGCUGGUCAUGCCUUUGGUAUGCACUGGUGUCACUGGUUUCUCCCUUCUGAAGAUCCGUGAUGUCAUUAAUUUGGUGUCGCGGGGAAUCAGGACUGUUACUUUGAAAAAAUUAGAGUGUUUAAAGCAGGCUCACGCUUGAAUACAUUAGCAUGGAAUAAUGAAAUAGGACGUUUGACCCUAUUUUGUUGGUUUCUAGGAUCGACGUAAUGAUUAAUAGGGAUAGUUGGGGGCAUUAGUAUUCAAUUGUCAGAGGUGAAAUUCUUGGAUUUAUUGAAGACUAACUACUGCGAAAGCAUUUGCCAAGGAUGUUUUCAUUAAUCAAGAACGAAAGUUAGGGGAUCGAAGACGAUCAGAUACCGUCGUAGUCUUAACCAUAAACUAUGCCGACUAG
RNAcentral lists this ribosomal RNA (476 nucleotides) under uncultured Glomus. Its description in RNAcentral is "SSU rRNA". It matches the Rfam family "Eukaryotic small subunit ribosomal RNA", at positions 569 to 1049 of the family's 1831-position model. The record is from RNAcentral. Lineage: Eukaryota; Fungi; Glomeromycota; Glomeromycetes; Glomerales; Glomeraceae.